AUUGAACGCUGGCGGCAGGCCUAACACAUGCAAGUCGAACGGUAACAGGAAGCAGCUUGCUGCUUUGCUGACGAGUGGCGGACGGGUGAGUAAUGUCUGGGAAACUGCCCGAUGGAGGGGGAUAACUACUGGAAGCGGUAGCUAAUACCGCAUAACGUCGCAAGACCAAAGAGGGGGACCUUAGGGCCCCUUGCCAUCGGAUGUGCCCAGAUGGGAUUAGCUAGUAGGUGGGGUAACGGCUCACCUAGGCGACGAUCCCUAGCUGGUCUGAGAGGAUGACCGGCGACACUGGAACUGAGACACGGUCCAGACUCCUACGGGAGGCAGCAGUGGGGAAUAUUGCACAAUUGGCGCAAGCCUGAUGCAGCCAUGCCGCGUGUAUGAAGAAGGCCUUCGGGUUGUAAAGUACUUUCGGCGGGGAGGAAGGGAGUAAAGUUAAUACCUUUGCUCAUUGACGUUACCCGCAGAAGAAGCACCGGCUAACUCCGUG
Molecule: ribosomal RNA, 490 nt
Filed under: uncultured bacterium
Lineage: Bacteria
Description: partial 16S ribosomal RNA
Rfam family: Bacterial small subunit ribosomal RNA
Source: RNAcentral